Molecule: ribosomal RNA, 53 nt
Filed under: uncultured bacterium
Lineage: Bacteria
Description: partial 16S ribosomal RNA
Source: RNAcentral
UAGUCUAACCGCAAGGAGGACGGUUACCACGGUGAGAUUCGUGACUGGGUGUA